This 567-nucleotide long non-coding RNA is filed under the name Coturnix japonica (Japanese quail). RNAcentral's name for it is "lncRNA (ENSCJPG00005004802.1)". Lineage: Eukaryota; Metazoa; Chordata; Aves; Galliformes; Phasianidae. The record is from RNAcentral.
CUCACUUAUGGGGCUGGAGCCAUCUCACUUAUGGGGCUGGGGAAUGAAGCUAUCUCACUUAUGGGGCUGGAGCCAUCUCACUUAUGGGGCUGGGAGGGGAAGGGGACUGAGCACAUCUCACUUAUGGGGCUGGGAACUAAAACCAUCUCACUUAUGGGGCUGAACCCUUCUCACUUAUGGGGCUGGGAGCCAUCACUUAUGGGGCUGGAAGAGGGAUGGGGACUGACAGGAUCUCACUUAUGGGGCUGGGAGAGGAUGGGGACCAAACCCAGGUCACUUAUGGGGCAGGGACUGAACCCAUGUCACUAUGGGCCGAACCCAGGUCACUUAUGGGGCUGGGACUAACAGGACCUCACUUAUGGGGCUGGGAGAGGGACGGGGACUGAACCCAUAUCAACUUAUGGGCCGAACCCAGGUCACUUAUGGGGCUGGGAUGGGCUGAGAACCGAACCCGGAUCACUUAUGGGGCCGAACAGAAGGCAGGACGGCGAAACCCUUCUCACUCUGGAUCUGGACGCCGUCAAUUAUGGGGCAGAGCCGUACCUUAUGGGGCAGGCGCCAUCCACG